RNAcentral lists this ribosomal RNA (253 nucleotides) under uncultured bacterium. Its description in RNAcentral is "partial 16S ribosomal RNA". It matches the Rfam family "Bacterial small subunit ribosomal RNA", at positions 524 to 776 of the family's 1533-position model. The record is from RNAcentral.
UACGUAGGGUGCAAGCGUUAAUCGGAAUUACUGGGCGUAAAGCGUGCGCAGGCGGUUUUGUAAGUCUGACGUGAAAUCCCCGGGCUCAACCUGGGUAUUGCGUUGGAGACUGCAAGGCUAGAAUCUGGCAGAGGGGGGUAGAAUUCCACGUGUAGCAGUGAAAUGCGUAGAGAUGUGGAGGAACACCGAUGGCGAAGGCAGCCCCCUGGGUCAAGAUUGACGCUCAUGCACGAAAGCGUGGGGAGCAAACAGG